This 195-nucleotide ribosomal RNA is filed under the name Triticum aestivum (bread wheat). RNAcentral's name for it is "partial small subunit ribosomal RNA". Lineage: Eukaryota; Viridiplantae; Streptophyta; Magnoliopsida; Poales; Poaceae. The record is from RNAcentral.
AUGACUUGCAAUCCUAAAUGGGAAGAGAUAACGAAUGAGUUGCUGCCUGGUCAGAUGGCGCAAGACCGUCCUGAUAUUGUGGCUCGCGUGUUCUACGGCAAACUAGAGGCUAUGAAAGAUUUGUUGUUCAAGAAGCAGAUCCUGGGUGUUGUUGUCGCUUAUGUAUACGUAGUCGAGUUCCAAAAAAGAGGCCUC